GACGAACGCUGGCGGCGUGCUUAACACAUGCAAGUCGAGCGGUAAGGCCCUUUCGGGGGUACACGAGCGGCGAACGGGUGAGUAACACGUGGGUGACCUGCCCUCAGCUCUGGGAUAAGCCUGGGAAACUGGGUCUAAUACUGGAUAUGACUCCACGGUGCAUGUCGUGGGGUGGAAAGCCUUGUGCGGCUGAGGAUGGGCCCGCGGCCUAUCAGCUUGUUGGNGGGGUGAUGGCCUACCAAGGCGACGACGGGUAGCCGGCCUGAGAGGGCGACCGGCCACACUGGGACUGAGACACGGCCCAGACUCCUACGGGAGGCAGCAGUGGGGAAUCUUGCGCAAUGGGCGAAAGCCUGACGCAGCGACGCCGCGUGAGGAUGACGGCC
Molecule: ribosomal RNA, 386 nt
Filed under: uncultured bacterium
Lineage: Bacteria
Description: bacterial SSU rRNA
Rfam family: Bacterial small subunit ribosomal RNA
Source: RNAcentral